Molecule: long non-coding RNA, 2471 nt
Organism: Anolis carolinensis (green anole)
Lineage: Eukaryota; Metazoa; Chordata; Lepidosauria; Squamata; Anolidae
Source: Ensembl
ACAGGACUGAAGCUGGCAAGGCCCUUGAUGCUAAUCAAGGUGAUUAAUUCCAACAUUUACACUCGCCUCCAACAGGCAAGAGUUCUUUCUCCCACCCUGGAGCUUCCACAGAUAGAUAAACCUUCCUUGCUUAGUUUCUCCAUACCUCACAACCUCUGAGGAUGCCUGCCCUAGAUGUGGGCGAAACGUCAGGAGAGAAUGCUUCUGGAGCAUGGCCAUACAGCCGGGAAAACACACAACAACCCAAAGAGCUUCCUCGCCAAACAGCCUUCCCAGCACUUCCUCCUUUGCAUGCUUCUUCUCAACGUUCUAUCCCCGCCCCUUCUGGGGCCACGUGACGAGAGGGACAGGCCAAUCAGAGCUCUUUGCUGCUUUAUGAACUGGUGCGGAUGGAUGCGAAGAAACUGCCUUGGUGGAAGAAGGGAGAGGAGAGAGAAAGAAAGAGAACUGACCAGGUACAAAUACUGAGAGAAGAAUCAGGACAGCUAUUCUAAAUGGCUCACAUUGGGAAGGAAAACCAGCAAGAAGCCGUGCCUCUCCCAGAGCGGGCAUCAAAGGAAAGUGCUGUGCUUGCAGCAAACGCCUUCAGCAGCAAGAUCCCUGUGCUGUCUAAAAGCAGACUCGCACCCAAACAGCAGACAUGUGUAUCCAGUGGGAAGAGCAAAGCGAUCAAGGACCCAAAGGUGCCUCACACCAGUUCAGCUCCUGCUGUUGGUGGACUGGAACCGGUGGCUGCUUCAUUGCCCAAGAGCCUUUCCAGAGAACCUCUGGGGGAAGUACAUCUCAGCACAUCUGGUCACAGGAAUGAGGGCAACAGGUCUGCUGCCAAAAGAGUGGGCAACAGUGGUGGAGAAGGAACGGACACAGAGGAGUUUGUGCCUGAUGUAGCAGCUCUUGCCAGCAUCUUGUCCAACACAGGGCUGAAAUGCCAGAUGAUGAAUUCAACCCACAAGCCCAGCUUGGCCCAAAGAGUCCCUUUGAGUGGAAACAGAGCAUGUUCAGCCAGCAUUGGGACUGCCCGAGGCUCUCUAUAUACAAAGGUUUCAGAAGGAAAUCCUGUUCGCUUUUCCUGUAUCUCCAGAUCAACUUCAAAAGAUACAGAUCUCUCAAAGUCCUGUGGCCUGUCCCUGAACAUUGAACAGCUUAAGACUUUGUCAUCUAGUCUCAAGAACUACGGUCCCAGGGGGGAAGUGACUCAAUCCAGGCAUCCGGCAGAGGACCAGAGAGUGACCAAGUUUGCAGAUCCAGCAGCCAAGCCCAUUGCAGAAUGUCUGAGCAGAGUGACCCCAACUGAUGUUCCAGUUCAAAGCAACUCUGCUGGGACAAAAGACGCCACAGGAUCAUCAUGGAAAGAUGAAGAGUUUGUACCAGACUCAGCUGCCAAAGCGAGUAUCCUCUCAAAUGAAGGUUUGAGUCGAUUUGCCAUAGGGGCCAAUGGCAAGCUGAGCAUGGCCCAGCGGGUGCUCGUGAAAUGUCCUCAGAAGACUCCUGUCACUUGUGGCAACACUAGGGGUGAAAGUGACUUUUUCUUAGAGCGCCGUACUAGAGCAUCUUCGAUUGGAAAGUUUGGUCGUGUGCCUUAUCGUUCUCCUCAGGGUCUUCAAGGUCUAAAGCAGUCAGCGGCUUCUGGAGCCCAGCCAACCAAUACACCUGGCAACAGAUUUACCUCUGUUGGCUGUUCAUCCUACACUCCAGCGAGGAGGGUUCCACAAUCCUUGUGUCGCACUCCUUGGACAUUUCGUCGUGGCCCUCUUUCCUUCUCCCAUAAGAACAUGAAGGUGGGUAUCCAACCUCCAGCAGAAAUGGAGCAGGGGAAGAUUGCUAUGCGCCUCUUUGAUGAUGAGGUGGAGGCAUCAGCAAAGAAGGUGCCUGCUGCUUCCAUGAUCACACCAGAAAUGGGGAAGCUCCAGUGUGUUGAGCUCCUUGCCCAGCUCUUAUGUCGGGAGAUGAAUAAUGGUGAUGUUGAUCAGGUGGUUGCCCCAUCACUGAAAGAACUACACAAUCUAUUGUCUGCUCAUUGCUCGCCUGCUUUGGAGCCUGCCCAGCCUGCCUCCCUCAGCACACCUUCCCAGGACCCUACACCAAAUUUCUGCAAACCUACAGCACUGCCUGAGGUUGUGGUUGCUCCUGAAACUAGCACAACACUCGCUACCACUUCCAGCCAACAGCUCAGCUGCCCAGGCUCUUGCAUGCCUUUGGCCCAGCAUCCCUCAUCCAGUGCAAGUCGUUCAGACCAGUUAAAGCAGCGGCUGGCUGAUCUCCGUAAUGCACCUCAGCGCUUCCACGAGGCCUUACUAAAUGACGAGUGUGCCUUCUACACGGCCCGCGUCACGUCUGUCUCACAGUCUUCAGUGCCACGGUGUAAGGAGCCUGUGGCAAAAACACUUGAGGCUCAUGGUGCCAUGCACUUUAUACCCAUCGCUGCACCUCUAUCCCCUUUGGGGGAAGGAGAGAGCCCUGCAACCUCAUGA